This 490-nucleotide ribosomal RNA is filed under the name uncultured bacterium. RNAcentral's name for it is "partial 16S ribosomal RNA". It matches the Rfam family "Bacterial small subunit ribosomal RNA", at positions 30 to 507 of the family's 1533-position model. The record is from RNAcentral.
AUUGAACGCUGGCGGCAGGCCUAACACAUGCAAGUCGAACGGUAACAGGAAGAAGCUUGCUUCUUUGCUGACGAGUGGCGGACGGGUGAGUAAUGUCUGGGAAACUGCCUGAUGGAGGGGGAUAACUACUGGAAACGGUAGCUAAUACCGCAUAACGUCGCAAGACCAAAGAGGGGGACCUUCGGGCCUCUUGCCAUCGGAUGUGCCCAGAUGGUAUUAGCUCGUAGGUGGGGUAACGGCUCACCUAGGCGACGAUCCCUAGCUGGUCUGAGAGGAUGACCAGCCACACUGGAACUGAGACACGGUCCAGACUCCUACGGGAGGCAGCAGUGGGGAAUAUUGCACAAUGGGCGCAAGCCUGAUGCAGCCAUGCCGCGUGUAUGAAGAAGGCCUUCGGGUUGUAAAGUACUUUCAGCGGGGAGGAAGGGAGUAAAGUUAAUACCUUUGCUCAUUGACGUUACCCGCAGAAGAAGCACCGGCUAACUCCGUG